RNAcentral lists this ribosomal RNA (277 nucleotides) under uncultured bacterium. RNAcentral describes it as "partial 16S ribosomal RNA". It matches the Rfam family "Bacterial small subunit ribosomal RNA", at positions 30 to 293 of the family's 1533-position model. The record is from RNAcentral.
AUUGAACGCUGGCGGCACGCCUAACACAUGCAAGUCGAGCGGCAGCGAGACGCGUAGCAAUACGUGUUGUCGGCGAGCGGCGGACGGGUGAGUAACACGUAGGAACUUGCCCAAUAGACAGGGAUAACCAAGGGAAACUUUGGCUAAUACCGGAUAGACACUCGAGAGAGGAAAGCUGCGAUGGAGAGAUUCAAAGUGGCGUUAUUGGAGAGGCCUGCGUCCGAUUAGCUAGUUGGUGGGGUAAGAGCCUACCAAGGCGAUGAUUGGUAACUGGUCU